This 866-nucleotide ribosomal RNA is filed under the name uncultured bacterium. Its description in RNAcentral is "bacterial SSU rRNA". It matches the Rfam family "Bacterial small subunit ribosomal RNA", at positions 51 to 907 of the family's 1533-position model. The record is from RNAcentral.
ACACAUGCAAGUCGAGGGGAAACGACAUCGAAAGCUUGCUUUUGAUGGGCGUCGACCGGCGCACGGGUGAGUAACGCGUAUCCAACCUGCCCACCACUUGGGGAUAACCUUGCGAAAGUAAGACUAAUACCCAAUGACGUCUCUAGAAGACAUCUGAAAGAGAUUAAAGAUUUAUCGGUGAUGGAUGGGGAUGCGUCUGAUUAGCUUGUUGGCGGGGUAACGGCCCACCAAGGCAACGAUCAGUAGGGGUUCUGAGAGGAAGGUCCCCCACAUUGGAACUGAGACACGGUCCAAACUCCUACGGGAGGCAGCAGUGAGGAAUAUUGGUCAAUGGACGAGAGUCUGAACCAGCCAAGUAGCGUGCAGGAUGACGGCCCUAUGGGUUGUAAACUGCUUUUAUAAGGGAAUAAAGUGAGUCUCGUGAGACUUUUUGCAUGUACCUUAUGAAUAAGGACCGGCUAAUUCCGUGCCAGCAGCCGCGGUAAUACGGAAGGUCCGGGCGUUAUCCGGAUUUAUUGGGUUUAAAGGGAGCGUAGGCCGGAGAUUAAGCGUGUUGUGAAAUGUAGACGCUCAACGUCUGCACUGCAGCGCGAACUGGUUUCCUUGAGUACGCACAAAGUGGGCGGAAUUCGUGGUGUAGCGGUGAAAUGCUUAGAUAUCACGAAGAACUCCGAUUGCGAAGGCAGCUCACUGGAGCGCAACUGACGCUGAAGCUCGAAAGUGCGGGUAUCGAACAGGAUUAGAUACCCUGGUAGUCCGCACGGUAAACGGUGGAUGCCCGCUGUUGGUCUGAAUAGGUCAGCGGCCAAGCGAAAGCAUUAAGCAUCCCACCUGGGGAGUACGCCGGCAACGGUGAAACUCAAAGG